CUAGGAUGAACGCUAGCGACAGGCUUAACACAUGCAAGUCGAGGGGCAGCAUGGGAGUGGCAACACUCCUGAUGGCGACCGGCGCACUGGUGAGUAACACGUAUGCAACCUGCCCCCUACAGGGGAAUAAACCAGAGAAAGUUUUGGCCUAAUGCCCCGUAGUCCUCCUCGCCGCAUGGCGUGGAGGGGAAAGCUCCGGCGGUAGGGGAUGGGCAUGCGGCGCAUUAGCUUGUUGGCGGGGUGACGGCCCACCAAGGCGACGAUGCGUAGGGGUUCUGAGAGGAAGGUCCCCCACACUGGUACUGAGACACGGACCAGACUCCUACGGGAGGCAGCAGUGAGGAAUAUUGGUCAAUGGGCGCAGGCCUGAACCAGCCAAAGUCGCGUGCGGGACGACGGCCCUACGGGUUGUAAACCGCUUUAGCCGGGGAGUAACGGGCGCCACGCGUGGCGCCGUGAGAGUACCCGGAGAAUAAGCAUCGGCUAACUCCGUGCCAGCAGCCGC
Molecule: ribosomal RNA, 505 nt
Filed under: uncultured bacterium
Lineage: Bacteria
Description: bacterial SSU rRNA
Rfam family: Bacterial small subunit ribosomal RNA
Source: RNAcentral